CUCUCCAAGUCUUUUUAAUACUACUACAUCUUCCUCCAUUGACUUUGUCUCUGUGCGAAGACUUGUAACGAUUCUCAUCUAUCUCUUAAGAAACCCUUUCAUGCUUGGUUUGAACAAAUAGCAGUUCCUUUGAUAUAAAGUUCACUUCAAUUAUUUCCUGCUUCCAGUCUCCCUUGCAUACUUUUAAGCUGGCGUUGCCGACAUUCAUGAGGUCGUUAGAAACCUGAGGUUCCCUGCAUAUAAGUUAUGAGGCUUUAGCAUAGAUGAUAUCAACUAGAGUUAAGCAACAGUUGGUGGAUGAGAUUGAAAUAAAAGACUUAGGACCAGAUAAGCAAAUACUUGGGAUGAGAAUUUGCAGAAACAUGUGUCUAUCUCAAGAAAAAUACAUACACAAGGUACUAGAUAUGUUUAGUCUUCAUAAUACAAGGACCAGAAAUACUCUAUUAGGAAGCCGCCUUACUAUGUUGAAGAACCAAUCACUAAAGAAAGGAAGUACGUUCCCAAAGUUCCAUAUGCUUCACCAAUAGAAAGUUUGAUGUAUAUAACUAUUUUCAAAUGUGCAAAAAAAUAAAAAGAUCAUGUCUAAAUUCUCUUAUACUUGAUAUUAUCAAUGGCAUCAAGAAGAGAUUCUUCAUCCGCUUCACAGAAGAAAAAAAAACACAUAUGUGAGAGAAACAUCGAGUGUUUGAGCAGUUAUACAUAUAGUGAGGAUAUUUUUAAAGAGAGUUUUUUCUUUUGAGUGCGUUAACCUAAAAUAUAUUAUACAAGUCGUGAUUAUUGUAUCUCAACUCAUUAUAGUGAUAUUGUUUUGCUCCUCUCGGGUCGUGUUUUUUAGUUUAUAAGGGUUUCCACCGAUUUCAUUGUUCUUCCUUCUAUACUCAAAGUUUGACGGUGAAUAUUUCUGUGUGGAUAUUCGCUGAUCCCAACACUGUAAUUAGAUCUGUAAUGUAGACAUCAUGAAUGAUGAUCAUAGUGGCCUCAAAGAUUCAAUUACGUUGAGAGGCAACCAAUUAAAACAUGGGUUUUAAUGACACAUUCGAAUAGAAUUACAAAAUUCAUAACACUUUCCUUUUCUCUUUAUUUAUCUCUCCUUGAGUAUUUAGUUGAGACCCUAGUUUCAGAUAUCAAACUCGCUUUUACGUGGUGUAUUAAUUAAGGCCAUAGGAUGAAUUGGACUAGAGGUGUCACUUUCUCUAGACAUUAAGGAUGUUUUGGUUAAUUAAGUACAACAUUUUAGGGAUUUAGUUAAACUUAUGAGUAUCCGUUAAGGAUGUUAUGAGUUAAAAACUCAUGUAGCUUCUUAGUUAGGGUAUUAGAAGUAGUUGAUUGAAGGAAGAAUUAGCUUAGUUGAGAUAGUAGUUGUUUUCGCAUGUAAAUGAUAGCUGGAAACUAUGAGGAUAAGUUAGUUGAAGGAGGAGGAGAAAAAGAGACCUGGCCUAUGGUAGAAGUUUUCAACCAUGCUUAUAUAUCAUCUAUGCACCAAUCUGUGGGAAUGAGGAAAUAGCAACUUGCCUGGACAUAAUCGCUCGCGGGAGGAGAUGCAGAUGGUCUUGCAGCUAUUUUGGCCAUGGCAAUGAAACGAACAAGUACAAGGAUUCUAAGCCAAGACUGUCUUGAAUUUUUAACUUCAUCAUCUUCUGCAAUGAUCAAUUCACUUCAUCAACAACUUAUCAAGUAGUGACGAUCAAAUUUUUAUAGAUAUUUAGUGAGACAUUUUAGCACACAUACAAAAUUUAAACAAAAACUAUUGAUUCUCGUGAACCCAUAGCUUGUAUUCUAGAUCCACCACUGGUCGUUUGCCAUAGCUUGUGUCCUAAACUUGCACUGUUUCUUGAUUUACUUGUCACUGAAGUGCUUCCUAUAUAACAACUUUAAUUAAUUAUGUUAUGUUACGUUAUUUUUCUUCCUCAGCAUGCAUGCACUUAAUAGUCAGCCGCUUUUUGUAAUAUUCUAACCCUACCUAAACUCGUAUUAUCAUCAGUAAAUGCUUCUGAUCGUCUUUUCUUUUUAAGAUAUGCGGCUACAUAUAGAAAUACCAAUCAUAAAAUCAAGGACAUGUUCUACAUGGUGAAAGCAGAGGCUGAUAUAGCUCUACAAUUACAUAAAUAUAUGUGUACAAAAUUUAUAACAAUUAGUAGAUCAAUGAACCCGUAAUAAUAAAUAGUAUAUAAAAUAGUUUAAUACUAAGAACAUUAAAAAUUAAACCCAUAAAGCUUAAAUAUUACAUCUACUCUAUGUGGAAGCCCAACUAGGGCUCGUUGUUUCCUAGAAAAAUAACAGAAGAUGUUGUGAACAUGGAUAAGUUAGAUAAUGCUUAUGGGCCAAUUAUUUGGACAAAGGUUGGCCAAGCUAUUGGGCCCGGGGCUAAACCGCGAUAUGGCCAAAGAAUUAAACAGCCCAACUGUACAUUUACUUGGGAUCCAGGUUGAGUAGAAAAGUACGUGACAAAGAGAAUAAAAGGGUGUCAUCGGCAGUUUUGGAAAGGAGGCGAAUUAUGCCAACUGCUUAGGCAAAGUCUAUGUUUUCUCACUUCCAAUUAUCUCUAUACUCUACUAUGUUUGUUCUUAGCAAUUUCCUUUCAGUGUUUAGUUUACCUUUGUAAUUCCAAUUUUUAUCAUAGUGAAAUAUACUCUUUAAUCUGUUGGGCGUGGAAUUGUAUAUGUUUAGUGUUGGGUUCGUUACAUUGGUGCUUUCAUCCAUCGGACUCCAACAUCGGAAGUGUUUCUGCCUAGAUUCAGUGGCGACAGCAACCCAGAGCGCUGGAAUUUUUUAGCCGAGUUAUACUUCACAUACCUUGGCUUCUCCGAGAAGGAUUGGCUGCCUCUUCCUUCCUUCUAUCUAGAAGGCGAUGCCCUCACAUGGUUCGAUUGGUUAUUUCGCAACAACCAAUUCUAUGAUUGGAAUCAUUUUAAGGAGAAGUUUCUUCUGCAUUUUCAUAAACAGACCUUUACUGAUCUGCUAUGUAUUUCAAAUUUGUAUGGGCUUGAAUCUACUUUUGAACCAGCCAACAAGACAGAGCAAGCAUUUGAUGUACUCUCUACUAGAGUUUCCCCUAAUACAAUUGCUGAUAGUUCUUCGGUUACAACAAUGGAUUCCAAAAUUCAUCCUCCUUCCUUAUUAGAUUCAUUGACAAACCUUCAAAUCCCUGAAAUACAUGAUCCCACCUCUAGUUUACCUGGUGGAAACAAGUGCGCACCAGCGGAAGACACAGUGCUCGAUGAAAUUCUUAGAGCGAUGAACCUAAUUUGCCUUUCCAUUUUGCAAGCGAUGAAGCACUCCUCGUUUCUCUUGUCGGACGAGAUUGUCUCAUGCCUAAAAAAGUAAAAAGAUUGAACAAUCUGCUUUUACAAAAAUUUUGUCUAUAAACUAUGCGGGAUUUUUCGAGGCAACUGAGAUAAACUUUGAUUCAAAUACUAGCAAAUCAGAGGAGGACCAGCAAGUCUACGCGAUGGUGGAGAAAAAUUCAAGCAACGCUGUAGUUCAGUUAUUUGACAAAUUUGCUCAUAGGAAAGGAACUGAUUUUUUGGAUGAUAUACCAUCGUGGAUAUCCAUUGAAGAAACUGCUGACAUUUUAGAAAGUGACGCGGAUAAAAUGUUUGAUAAAAUUAUUCAGAGAAAAGAAAAUGGUACGACACUUAUGAGGGAGGUUGUUAGCCACACCAAUCAGGUGCUCUCUCAACAAACCAGUAUGACUGGUCUAGUGAGUGUUAUAUCUAAUGCAAAAAUUCAAAUUCUUGUCAUUGAAUUUGAUAUGGGAUAUGGUUUCUAGAAUCAAUUACUUACUGAACAUCCUAAAAUACUUUGCCUUCGACAUGAUGCAUUUGACUUACAUUUUCUGUUUGAUCCUGGCUCUGGUGCUAUUCUUUUAAUCAGUGCGAAGUCACCUCAGGGGAGGUUAGAGGACCUUUUUACACCCUCAAAUCCAAGUAGGCAACAUUUGACAAAACAAAAGGGAGUUUUUAAAUAUAUGUUGUGAUUCCAACAUGAUAUCAUUGUCCAUAUAGCUAAUUUGUUUGACAUUGGGUAGCGACCUAAGGGUAAUAAGUUCUCUCUAGCUUUCUUUGUGAUUAUUCCGAUUGAUAAGUGUGUGUAUGUCAAAGUUAGUUGGUUGGAUAUUGGGAGAGAGAUAUUCGAUGACAUGAUUGACGAGAACAUACUCACUGUGCUCGAGUCUUUUGUACCACCAACUACUGUCUAUAGUAGUUUUCAUGUGAUACUUCUUGGAUCUGUUAAGUCUGUCCAGUCUAAUAAGCUAGCGCUUGCACUUAUUCAUGAUGUUGUGAAUCCCUCAACUAGAAGGGGAGCUAUCAAACGCUUGUAUUUUGCUUAUGUUAAUGCUUCAAAUGAGCAGAUCUGUAGUGACGCCACUCUUACGUUUGGAGAUGAUGUGAUUCUUGUUGUAUUUGUGUCCAGUGCUAGAAUUUUUGAACUGAUUUGUGGUUCCUCCUACGAUGGAAAGUCAGCCCAACAUAUUAUAAUUGCUUGGAUACACCAUAAUGGGUUAAAGUUUGAAAAGCCCCUUGAUUGUUUACUGCCUUUUGACCUUGGGAACCCAUAUUUUGGCUAGCAGGGUAGAGCCAAAUUUACACCUAAGGCUCCAAAGAUCAUCACAACCACUUCGAAUAUGCUACAAGGACGCAAUCUAAAAAAAUGGAUGACUUUGGCAUUAGGACCCCAGGUCAGUAACAAGAUUGUGUUAGUAAAAGAAUGCAAUAUACUCCUUUGUUUUGUCUCACAGGUAGUUUAUAUUGGAGAUCAGCAUGUUAUUGGAGUAGGUACACAUUUAUUCAUGCCUCAAGAUUUAACUGGUACACUAAUAAAGAAAGUGAAAGUAGAGAUGAUUGUGGAACUCACUUGUAGAAUAAUAACUAUUUUGCUAUCCAUUUCAGUGUUUUUGUGGCUUAUGAAGUAUUCAAAGGAAACACAAUAUAUAUAUCUCAUCAUGCCCUUGUCCAAAAUGAAGUCCACUAUGCAGUCACUCUUGUUGUGCCAGACAUGAAUAGAGCUUGGUAUGGUGCUCUUAAUUUUGCUCAAGAGGAAUUGGCAUGUGAUUUCCAUCCAGUGCACUUCAAGCUUAUUGAAGUCCACGUAACUACAACUAGUUUACCAAAACCCGUGAGUCUGAGAUUUCUUAACUCGAACCUUGAGGACAAGGUUCUUAUUGAGGAUAGGAGUAUUGUUGUGAACAUGGAUAAGUUAGAUAAUGCUUAUGGGGCAAUUAUUCGGACAAAGGGUGGCCAAGCUAUUGGGCCUGGGGCUAAACCGCGAUAUCGCCAAGGAAUUAAACAGCCCAACUGUACAUUUACUUGGGAUCCAGGUUGAGUAGGGAAGUACGUGACAAAGAGAAUAAAAGGGUGUCAUCGGCAGUUUUGAAAAGGAGGCGAAUUAUGUCAACUGCUUAGGCAAAGUCUAUGUUUUCCUAUCCCCAAUUCUCUCUAUACUCCUCAUCCCCAAUUCUCUCUAUACUCCUCAUCCCCUUCUACUAUGUUUGUUCUUAGCAAUUUCCUUUCAGUGUUUAGUUUACCUUUGUAAUUUCAGUUUUUAUCAUAGUGAAAUACACUCUUUAAUCUGUUGGGCGUGGAA
Non-coding RNA from Nicotiana tabacum (common tobacco), 5583 nucleotides. Lineage: Eukaryota; Viridiplantae; Streptophyta; Magnoliopsida; Solanales; Solanaceae. The record is from RefSeq and is a predicted model, not a curated record.